UACGUAGGGUGCGAGCGUUAAUCGGAAUUACUGGGCGUAAAGCGUGCGCAGGCGGUUUUGUAAGUCAGAUGUGAAAUCCCCGGGCUCAACCUGGGAACUGCGUUUGAAACUACAAGGCUAGAGUAUGGUAGAGGGGGGUAGAAUUCCACGUGUAGCAGUGAAAUGCGUAGAGAUGUGGAGGAAUACCAAUGGCGAAGGCAGCCCCCUGGACUAAUACUGACGCUCAUGCACGAAAGCGUGGGGAGCAAACAGG
This 253-nucleotide ribosomal RNA is filed under the name uncultured bacterium. Its description in RNAcentral is "partial 16S ribosomal RNA". It matches the Rfam family "Bacterial small subunit ribosomal RNA", at positions 524 to 776 of the family's 1533-position model. The record is from RNAcentral.